This 551-nucleotide long non-coding RNA is filed under the name Malus domestica (apple). RNAcentral's name for it is "long non-coding RNA (MDOM_LNC003559)". Lineage: Eukaryota; Viridiplantae; Streptophyta; Magnoliopsida; Rosales; Rosaceae. The record is from RNAcentral.
UAACCGUUUAGGCAAUUACCCAACGGGUAAACGGUUAUGCGGGUAUGAGCAUAAAUGGUUAUGGGUAAAUUAACCGCGGUUACCCGCACGCCAUAACCAUUGCCCAUCCCUACCCAUGAUGGCAUUAAAGGACCUGAAUUGCACAAAGCAAUCCAACAAACACUUGAACUAAAAGCUACCCAAAAGAAGUCCCUUAAUUAUUGUUACUAAAUUACUAAUUCACUGAAGAAAAAAAAACACAUAACUAAGAGGAUUAGAGCUAAUCUAAAAAACCCAUGUCAUAAAUCGGCAGAAAAAUGAUAGAAUAGUAACAUAGUCGGGAAGAAAGGUGCCUAAGUUGGAUUUUCGCGAGAGGUUUGCGGAGAGCUUGUUUGGUAUUGGGUUUUGUCCUAACCAUUAAAUAAAGUUAUUAUAUGGUUUUUGGUUAAAAUUCAAAGUAUUUAAGCUAUUUUCAUUAGUUUUCAUUUUUUUAUAUAAUAUAGGAAUAUACAAUUUGUAUAAUCUUCAUUUAGGUACAUUAAAUCAUUAAUUUGAUAUCUUUCGGUAUAUCC